GAAGUGCAGCAAUGCAUUUUAGCGGCGGACGGGUGAGUAACGCGUGGGUAACCUGCCUUACACUGGGGGAUAACAUAGUGAAAACUAUGCUAAAACCGCAUAAGACCACAGUAUCACAUGAUACAGGGGUAAAAACUCCGGUGGUGUAAGAUGGACCCGCGUCUGAUUAGCUAGUUGGUGAGGUAACGGCUCACCAAGGCAACGAUCAGUAGCCGACCUGAGAGGGUGAUCGGCCACAUUGGGACUGAGACACGGCCCAAACUCCUACGGGAGGCAGCAGUGGGGAAUAUUGCACAAUGGAGGAAACUCUGAUGCAGCGACGCCGCGUGAAGGAAGAAGGUCUUCGGAUCGUAAACUUCUAUCAGCAGGGACGAUAAUGACGGUACCUGACUAAGAAGCCCCGGCUGACUACGUGCCAGCAGCCGCGGUAAUACGUAGGGGGCAAGCGUUAUCCGGAAUUACUGGGUGUAAAGGGUGCGUAGGCGGUAAUGUAAGUCAGGUGUGAAAGCCCGAAGCUCAACUUCGGGAUUGCACUUGAAACUACAUAACUAGAGUACAGGAGAGGUGAGUGGAAUUCCUAGUGUAGCGGUGAAAUGCGUAGAUAUUAGGAGGAACACCAGUGGCGAAGGCGACUCACUGGACUGUAACUGACGCUGAGGCACGAAAGCGUGGGGAGCAAACAGGAUUAGAUACCCUGGUAGUCCACGCUGUAAACGAUGAAUGCUAGGUGUCGGCUCGUCAAGGGUCGGUGC
Molecule: ribosomal RNA, 752 nt
Filed under: uncultured bacterium
Lineage: Bacteria
Description: bacterial SSU rRNA
Rfam family: Bacterial small subunit ribosomal RNA
Source: RNAcentral